Molecule: ribosomal RNA, 616 nt
Filed under: Penicillium rubens
Lineage: Eukaryota; Fungi; Ascomycota; Eurotiomycetes; Eurotiales; Aspergillaceae
Description: eukaryotic LSU rRNA
Rfam family: 5.8S ribosomal RNA (bases 244-396)
Source: RNAcentral
CACGGGGGAGGUUGGACCCAGAGGGCCCUCACUCGCUUCCGUAGGUGAACCUGCGGAAGGAUCAUUACCGAGUGAGGGCCCUCUGGGUCCAACCUCCCACCCGUGUUUAUUUUACCUUGUUGCUUCGGCGGGCCCGCCUUAACUGGCCGCCGGGGGGCUUACGCCCCCGGGCCCGCGCCCGCCGAAGACACCCUCGAACUCUGUCUGAAGAUUGUAGUCUGAGUGAAAAUAUAAAUUAUUUAAAACUUUCAACAACGGAUCUCUUGGUUCCGGCAUCGAUGAAGAACGCAGCGAAAUGCGAUACGUAAUGUGAAUUGCAAAUUCAGUGAAUCAUCGAGUCUUUGAACGCACAUUGCGCCCCCUGGUAUUCCGGGGGGCAUGCCUGUCCGAGCGUCAUUUCUGCCCUCAAGCACGGCUUGUGUGUUGGGCCCCGUCCUCCGAUCCCGGGGGACGGGCCCGAAAGGCAGCGGCGGCACCGCGUCCGGUCCUCGAGCGUAUGGGGCUUUGUCACCCGCUCUGUAGGCCCGGCCGGCGCUUGCCGAUCAACCCAAAUUUUUAUCCAGGUUGACCUCGGAUCAGGUAGGGAUACCCGCUGAACUUAAGCAUAUCAAUAAGC